Molecule: ribosomal RNA, 460 nt
Filed under: uncultured bacterium
Lineage: Bacteria
Description: partial 16S ribosomal RNA
Rfam family: Bacterial small subunit ribosomal RNA
Source: RNAcentral
CCUACGGGAGGCAGCAGUGAGGAAUAUUGGUCAAUGGGCGCGAGCCUGAACCAGCCAAGUAGCGUGAAGGAUGACUGCCCUACGGGUUGUAAACUUCUUUUAUAAAGGAAUAAAGUGAGGCACGUGUGCCUUGUUGUAUGUAUUUUAUGAAUAAGGAUCGGCUAACUCCGUGCCAGCAGCCGCGGUAAUACGGAGGAUCCGAGUGUUAUCCGGAUUUAUUGGGGUUAAAGGGAGCGUAGGUGGGUUGUUAAGUCAGUGGGGAAAGUUUGCGGCUCAACCGUAAAAGUGCAAUUGAUACUGGCGGCCUUGAGUACAGGAGAGGUAGGCGGAAUUCGUGGUGUAGCGGUGAAAUGCUUAGAUAUCACGAAGAACCCCGAUUGCGAAGGCAGCCUACUAGACUGCCACUGACGCUGAUGCACGAAAGUGUGGGUAUCGAACAGGAUUAGAUACCCGUGUAGUC